CGUUUCUUUUUCUUCUUUUAAACGAUUCAACCUGUUCAUUCUCGUUUAUCAAUGCGCGAGAAGAUGAGUAUGCGAAUUUUUCAAAUUAUCUUUGAUUUCAAUCUGAUCGAAUCGUUCGGGUACAUUCUUAACGACACAGUAUUUCGUAUACGUUAUCAUCGAUAGACACGAAUAAAACAAUUCGCAAAUUUCUGGUGCGUUUUAUAUGUUGCAAGUCGAAAAACCUCGCUCGUUUCGUUUCAAUAAUCGUAAACCGUACCUUUUCAAAUUAUUUCGAAAUAUCGAAACUCUCUCGAAAAUAUUUUCUACUUCAAGAUGUUAGUUUGUUAAAUUGUAACGAUAUCGUCUCCAUUUAAAACUAUGAUAAUAAUUAUACAAUGUAAACAAGGAUAAAUCUGUGAUUCGGAUUUCUUUCUAUUAGAAUUCUGACUACACUUUAAAAUGUGAAUACAAUCGAAUAGCGUGAAAAAUCAUUGGGAAAAAGUCUUAUUCGCUCGGCAUUCGAUCGUCGAAAUAACGAUUGGCUAUACACCUGCCCAUCGUUACUCGCAAAUCGGAAAAGUCAUUGACCGAGAGGUAUUUUGAAAAGAUCGAAAAGGACCGUGAAACGAUAAAGUCGAAAUAAAUACGAUAUAUAGCUUCGAUAAGGUGGUAUUUCGUUAAACUAAUAUCGUACCACGACAAUUAUUGAUAUAUUUUUCUUUAUCUAGUAUAUACAUACCUACAUAAUUGUGUAGCAUAUGACGAUGAAUCUGAUCAAAAUGACCGCGACGCCGCACACGGCAAAACGUUCAACUUACUUGCCAAUCAAUUGCAUGAGUUAACAUCGCUAGAGACGUCUCUUGGAAUGGGAUCGUUUGCAAACUUUCUGCCUACAGUUCAGAAACCUUGGUGUAUCAAAAUGGUCCAGUGUACUAGCAGACUACCCGAAUAAAAUAGCUUGUUAACUGGAUAAGACUGUACACGAGAAAGUGUCUGUAUGUGUGUGCGCGUGUCUGGAAUGAGUAUGGGUAUCGAAGGAGGUUAGUUUCUACAUACGCGGUUUCGAAAAAUCCAAUGUAUCGCAUCUGGAUAGAUAUUUGUAUUCCCAUUUACUUUUAUUCGUACAACGAUCGUCAAGAGUAACAACAGAACGUUCAAGUAAUUCUCCUCUUCGUCGAGCCUACCUCUCAAAAUGAUCAAAGUGGAAAUAAUAAAUGACGACUAAACCGACUAAAUUAUUCUAUGAAAUAGUUGUAUGUAUAUUCAUUGAUUUCUUCGGAAAUAAAUACAACUUUACGUUUAUACGUAAAUAAGUAUGUAUGCACGGUAAGUAUACAUGUGUGUGUGUGUGUGUGGGUGUGUGUAUUGUACUAUGUAUUACGCAUCUUACCACAUAUAUAAAUGAACAAAAUAAAAUCUGUCUGUACUUACAGCAGUCGGUACAGCAAAAUAUAUGUGUUUCUUUUCAACUUUUUUUCAUCUAAAUAUUAAAUGUUUCUAUACGUGUAGACGAAUCUAAUAUCGUCGCGGAAAUAAUUUGCACGUGGGUGGUGAUCGAGACUCGAUAGGGUGCGCUAUGAUAUUGGUAAAUACGAUUCAAACCAACGAAUUAAGCAUGGACACAAGUACCAUGGUAUAUACUUGGGUAGAAAUACAGCACAUUAUGUUCGUGGAAUUAAAUGAAUUGAAGCUCAUGAACGUUAAGUAGCGCCUCGGCGGUGAAACCGAUCUACCAGUAUUUAUACGAUGCGACUACUUGAAAAAUAAAUGAAAUUCAAGUAGCUAGUGUUCGAGAGAUGAAUUCGUUACACAACAAUAUUGCAUCUUAACUGCUAAUUAUAUUUCCCAGCUUGUACGGAAGUGAAAAUAUAAUUAGGUAUUAAUGGAGAAGAAUAAACUGCGAUAUACCAAUUGUUGGGCAACAAGCUCGAAUUAAGAGAAUUAAACGACUAAUUUGAUUCUGUCGGAGAAGACGUUAGAAAAGAAUAUUAUUAUACAUAAAUAUAUUUAAGUAGCCACGGUCGAAAUGCAUUAAAUGUCUACCAUUGAGUAUUACAAUACAAGAGAGAUCUCUGUCCCUUUUACUCUCUCUCUCUCUCUCUCUCUCUCUC
This is a non-coding RNA of Nomia melanderi (Alkali bee), 2093 nucleotides long. The record is from RefSeq and is a predicted model, not a curated record. Lineage: Eukaryota; Metazoa; Arthropoda; Insecta; Hymenoptera; Halictidae.